GCAGUAGCCGCGGUAAUACGUAGGGUGCGAGCGUUAAUCGGAAUUACUGGGCGUAAAGCGUGCGCAGGCGGUUCGUUAAGACAGAUGUGAAAUCCCCGGGCUUAACCUGGGAACUGCAUUUGUGACUGGCGAGCUAGAGUAUGGCAGAGGGGGGUAGAAUUCCAUGUGUAGCAGUGAAAUGCGUAGAGAUGUGGAGGAAUACCGAUGGCGAAGGCAGCCCCCUGGGCCAAUACUGACGCUCAUGCACGAAAGCGUGGGGAGCAAACAGGAUUAGAUACCCCAGUAGUCCCUGUCUCUUAUAC
This 302-nucleotide ribosomal RNA is filed under the name uncultured bacterium. RNAcentral's name for it is "partial 16S ribosomal RNA". It matches the Rfam family "Bacterial small subunit ribosomal RNA", at positions 508 to 807 of the family's 1533-position model. The record is from RNAcentral.